UCGAUGGAGAGUUUGAUCCUGGCUCAGGACGAACGCUGGCGGCGUGCUUAAUGCAUGCAAGUCGAACGAGAACCUCACUAUGGGUAACCAUACGAGGUAUCUAGUGGCGAACGGGUGCGUAACACGUGAGAAACCUGCCCCGGAGAUCGGGAUAGCCCAGGGAAACCUGGAUUAAUACCGAAUGUCCUCUAACCGUCGCAUGUCGGAUUGAGGAAAUGGUCCGCUGCUCCGGGAUGGUCUCGCGGCCUAUCAGCUUGUUGGUGAGGUAACGGCUCACCAAGGCGACGACGGGUAGCUGGUCUGAGAGGACGAUCAGCCACACUGGGACUGAGACACGGCCCAGACUCCUACGGGAGGCAGCAGCAGGGAAUAUUGCACAAUGGGCGAAAGCCUGAUGCAGCGACGCCGCGUGAGGGAUGAAGGCCUUCGGGUUGUAAACCUCUUUCAGGAGGGAAGAAGCGAAAGUGACGGUACCUCCAGAAGAAGACCCGGCCAACUACGUGCCAGCAGCCGCGGUAAUACGUAGGGGUCAAGCGUUGUCCGGAUUUAUUGGGCGUAAAGAGCUCGUAGGCGGCUCAGUAAGUCGGUCGUGAAAAUCCGGGGCUCAACCCCGGGACGCCGAUCGAAACUGCUGUGGCUAGGGUUCGGUAGAGGAGAGUGGAAUUCCCGGUGUAGCGGUGAAAUGCGCAGAUAUCGGGAGGAACACCAGUAGCGAAGGCGGCUCUCUGGGCCGAUACCGACGCUGAGGAGCGAAAGCUAGGGGAGCAAACAGGAUUAGAUACCCUGGUAGUCCUAGCUGUAAACGUUGGGCACUAGGUGUGGCGGACUCAUUGACGUCU
Molecule: ribosomal RNA, 839 nt
Filed under: Actinomycetes bacterium
Lineage: Bacteria; Bacillati; Actinomycetota; Actinomycetes
Description: bacterial SSU rRNA
Rfam family: Bacterial small subunit ribosomal RNA
Source: RNAcentral